RNAcentral lists this ribosomal RNA (476 nucleotides) under Serratia marcescens. RNAcentral's name for it is "bacterial SSU rRNA". It matches the Rfam family "Bacterial small subunit ribosomal RNA", at positions 1048 to 1524 of the family's 1533-position model. The record is from RNAcentral. Lineage: Bacteria; Pseudomonadati; Pseudomonadota; Gammaproteobacteria; Enterobacterales; Yersiniaceae.
GCUGUCGUCAGCUCGUGUUGUGAAAUGUUGGGUUAAGUCCCGCAACGAGCGCAACCCUUAUCCUUUGUUGCCAGCGGUUCGGCCGGGAACUCAAAGGAGACUGCCAGUGAUAAACUGGAGGAAGGUGGGGAUGACGUCAAGUCAUCAUGGCCCUUACGAGUAGGGCUACACACGUGCUACAAUGGCAUAUACAAAGAGAAGCGACCUCGCGAGAGCAAGCGGACCUCAUAAAGUAUGUCGUAGUCCGGAUUGGAGUCUGCAACUCGACUCCAUGAAGUCGGAAUCGCUAGUAAUCGUAGAUCAGAAUGCUACGGUGAAUACGUUCCCGGGCCUUGUACACACCGCCCGUCACACCAUGGGAGUGGGUUGCAAAAGAAGUAGGUAGCUUAACCUUCGGGAGGGCGCUUACCACUUUGUGAUUCAUGACUGGGGUGAAGUCGUAACAAGGUAACCGUAGGGGAACCUGCGGUUGGAUC